This 403-nucleotide ribosomal RNA is filed under the name uncultured bacterium. RNAcentral describes it as "partial 16S ribosomal RNA". It matches the Rfam family "Bacterial small subunit ribosomal RNA", at positions 29 to 526 of the family's 1533-position model. The record is from RNAcentral.
AUUGAACGCUGGCGGCAGGCCUAACACAUGCAAGUCGAGCGAGCGGCGGACGGGUGAGGAAUGUAUGGGGACUGCCCGAUGGAGGGGGAUAACGGCUGGAAACGGUAGCUCAUACCGCAUACUAUCGGGUAAGCCAUAUGGGAUUAGCUAGUAGGUGAGGUAAUGGCUCACCAAGGGGACGAUCCCUAGCUGGUCUGAGAGGAUGAUCAGCCACACUGGGACUGAGACACGGCCCAGACUCCUACGGAGGCAGCAGUGGGGAAUAUUGGACAAUGGGCGCAAGCCUGAUGCAGCCAUGCCGCGUGUAUGAAGAAGGCCCUAGGGUUGUAAAGUACUUUCAGUCGGGAGGCGUUACCGACAGAAGAAGCACCGGCUAACUCCGUGCCAGCAGCCGCGGUAAUAC